This 732-nucleotide long non-coding RNA is filed under the name Homo sapiens (human). Its description in RNAcentral is "HSALNT0407273". Lineage: Eukaryota; Metazoa; Chordata; Mammalia; Primates; Hominidae. The record is from RNAcentral.
CCUCUUUUUCCUGCCCCCAGUGACUUGCAUUUUCUCUGAGACAGCUGCCAUUCUAGUCUCCCAGCCAUUCUUAGGAAGAGACGUGCCUGUCUCUGGGAAGAGGCAACUUCUCUGCAUGUCAGAGGUUUUCUCAUCCACUCCUGAGAUUCAGACACAAGGAGCAUGGAUUACCCACUGGAAGUCUCACAAGCAUCUCACAUUCCAGUCUGUUGUGGCUACUGUGCUGUGCCAACCAGAAUCCCUGCUAUGAUGGAAGGCCCCCCUUCAUCAGCUACUGAGAAGGUUGUCAGCUUAUGGCUCAGCUAUUAGCCUUUUCCACGAAUGGCCAUCAGCUGAAGGGAACCAUAUCACCCAAGGUCUGUUACAUUUCCCAGAAUGGUUCCCAGUGCUGGAGAUAAUUCCUUUUCGGAGAACCUACAUUUCUCACCUGCUGAUUGCAAUUAGCCACUACCAGCUGGGGCCUGGUGUGCAGCUGAAAAGCUAACAAGAAGUGGAGACCACGCGGAACUCAGACAGGGCAUAGGAUGUGCAUAAAUAAGCAACGGUGCCUGUGUUUAUGAGAUGCUCCUGUGAAUUCGAGGCUUCCCCACCCUCUGCAUAACUCUCCCUCUUCUGGCUUUGUGCUGCACACCCCUCCCCUAACUAUAUUUUUUGUCUCUGGUUUUGUAGCCUACGUUUAACAUCACAGUCACGAAUUUACCACUAAGUACAUUUUGUUAGGCAAUAAACAGC